AGAGUUUGAUCCUGGCUCAGGACGAACGCUGGCGGCGCGCCUAAUGCAUGCAAGUCGAGCGACGCAUAUUCGGUGGGUAACCACUGGGUAUGACGGAGCGGCGAACGGGUGAGUAACACGUGAGUAACCUGCCCCGAAGAUCGGGAUAGCCCGGGGAAACCCGGAUUAAUACCGAAUACCCUCUCUGGAUCGCAUGGUCCGAUGAGGAAAUGCCUUUGUGCUUCGGGAUGGACUCGCGGCCUAUCAGCUUGUUGGUGAGGUAACGGCUCACCAAGGCAACGACGGGUAGCUGGUCUGAGAGGACGAUCAGCCACACUGGGACUGAGACACGGCCCAGACUCCUACGGGAGGCAGCAGCAGGGAAUCUUGUCCAAUGGGCGAAAGCCUGAGACAGCGACGCCGCGUGAGGGAUGAAGGCCUUCGGGUUGUAAACCUCUUUCAGGAGGGACGAAAUUGACGGUACCUCCAGAAGAAGCCCCGGCCAACUACGUGCCAGCAGCCGCGGUAAUACGUAGGGGGCAAGCGUUGUCCGGAUUUAUUGGGCGUAGAGGGCUCGUAGGCGGCUCAACAAGUCAGUCGUGAAAACCCAGGGCUUAACCCUGGGACGCCGGUCGAUACUGUUGUGGCAAGGGUCCGGUAGAGGAGAAUGGAAUUCCCGGUGUAGCGGUGAAAUGCGCAGAUAUCGGGAGGAACACCAGUAGCGAAGGCGGUUCUCUGGGCCGGUACCGACGCUGAGGAGCGAAAGCGUGGGGAGCAAACAGGACUAGAUACCCUGGUAGUCCACGCCGUAAACGUUGGACACUAGGUGUGGCGGAUUUAUCAACGUCUGCUGUGCCGUAGCUAACGCGUU
RNAcentral lists this ribosomal RNA (850 nucleotides) under uncultured bacterium. RNAcentral describes it as "bacterial SSU rRNA". It matches the Rfam family "Bacterial small subunit ribosomal RNA", at positions 8 to 861 of the family's 1533-position model. The record is from RNAcentral.